RNAcentral lists this small RNA (127 nucleotides) under uncultured Kluyvera sp. Its description in RNAcentral is "isrA Hfq binding RNA". It matches the Rfam family "isrA Hfq binding RNA". The record is from RNAcentral. Lineage: Bacteria; Pseudomonadati; Pseudomonadota; Gammaproteobacteria; Enterobacterales; Enterobacteriaceae.
AUCUUCACGGUGAUGCCGCGCCCGGUCUCAAAUCCCGCCUCUUUAAGCCACUCGCCCUUAAGAUGCAGGCUGGGACUACGUGAAUAUCCCGUAGGGACUUUAGUUUUACGGUUAGUGUGGGAGAUGC